Molecule: ribosomal RNA, 1392 nt
Filed under: Triticum aestivum (bread wheat)
Lineage: Eukaryota; Viridiplantae; Streptophyta; Magnoliopsida; Poales; Poaceae
Description: partial small subunit ribosomal RNA
Source: RNAcentral
AUGGCGAUCUUCGCUGGCCUUCUCACCUUCGUCUCCACCCUCCUCGCUCUCGCCCUCCGGCACCUCUUGCGCCUCCUGCGCAGCCGCGCGCCCGACCCCGCGGCCGCGGCGGGGUUCUUCCACCCGUACACCAACGACGGCGGUGGCGGGGAGCGCGUGCUCUGGUGCGCCGUGCGCGCCGUCCAGGACCUCUGCCCCGACCUCCCCUGCGCCGUCUUCACCGGCGACGCGGACGCGUCCCCCGAUGGACUCGCCGCCCGCGCGCUCGAUCGCUUCGGUGUCCGCCUCCUCCGCCCGCCGCAGGUCGUUUAUUUGAACAAGAGAAAGUGGAUCGAAGCAAGCACAUAUCCGCGCUUCACAAUGAUCGGGCAAAGUCUUGGCUCAGUAUAUCUCGCAUGGGAGGCUCUUAACAAAUUCACCCCGCAGUUUUACUUUGAUACAAGUGGCUAUGCUUUUACGUAUCCACUGGCUUGGCUGUUUGGUUGCAAGGUCCUCUGCUACACUCAUUAUCCCACGAUCAGUUCUGAUAUGGCCGAACGUGUUAAGCAGCGCAAAUCAAUGUACAAUAACAACUCUCUUAUCUCUGGAAGCAUUUGGUUGUCUCGAUGCAAAGUUCUGUACUACACCAUAUUCAGUUGGUUGUAUGGUUUAGUUGGUUCCUGUGCACAUCUUGUGAUGGUGAAUUCCUCAUGGACAAGAUCCCAUAUUGUAAAUAUUUGGAAAGUCCCAGAGCGUACUAAGAGGGUAUACCCUCCAUGCGAUACUUCCGCCCUGCAGAUGCUUCCCCUGGAAAGAUCAACUACACCUCCUGUUCUUAUAUCAGUUGCACAGUUCCGUCCUGAAAAGGCUCAUGGUCUUCAGUUGGAGGCAUUUGCACUUGCUCUUGAAAGGCUAGAUUCAGACUUUCUUAAGCCAAAACUUCAAUUUGCUGGCAGUUGCCGGAAUAAAGAGGAUCUGGAAAGAUUACAAAAGCUUAAGGACAGAUCUGUGGAGCUUCACAUAGAUGAGCUUGUAGAGUUCCACCAGGAUAUCUCUUACAGAGACCUGGUACAGCUUCUUGGUGGUGCAAUUUGUGGGCUCCAUUCAAUGACAGAUGAGCAUUUUGGAAUAAGUGUCGUCGAGUACAUGGCUGCUGGUGCUAUUCCAAUUGCCCAUAAAUCUGCAGGACCAAUGAUGGAUAUUGUGCUAGAGGAGGACAGCCGGGAGACAGGGUUUCUGGCCUCCAGGAAGGAAGAAUUUGCGGAGGCAAUCCUCAAGGUCUUGAGGAUGCCGGAGCCAGAGAGGCGAGAAAUGGCGGCAGCAGCACGGAAGCGUGCUCAAAGGUUUUCAGAGCAGAAGUUUCAUGAAGAUUUCACUAAAGCGGUUCGCCCAGUUUUAUUAGGACGCUCAUAG